GGUGUAGCUCAGUGGUAGAGGACAUGCUUAACAUACAUGAGGCCCUGGGCUCAAUCCCCAGCACC
Molecule: transfer RNA, 65 nt
Filed under: Ictidomys tridecemlineatus (thirteen-lined ground squirrel)
Lineage: Eukaryota; Metazoa; Chordata; Mammalia; Rodentia; Sciuridae
Description: Spermophilus tridecemlineatus (thirteen-lined ground squirrel) tRNA
Rfam family: tRNA
About the family: Transfer RNA (tRNA) molecules are approximately 80 nucleotides in length. Their secondary structure includes four short double-helical elements and three loops (D, anti-codon, and T loops). Further hydrogen bonds mediate the characteristic L-shaped molecular structure. tRNAs have two regions of fundamental functional importance: the anti-codon, which is responsible for specific mRNA codon recognition, and the 3' end, to which the tRNAs corresponding amino acid is attached (by aminoacyl-tRNA synthetases). tRNAs cope with the degeneracy of the genetic code in two manners: having more than one tRNA (with a specific anti-codon) for a particular amino acid; and 'wobble' base-pairing, i.e. permitting non-standard base-pairing at the 3rd anti-codon position.
Source: Rfam by way of RNAcentral